This 576-nucleotide ribosomal RNA is filed under the name Triticum aestivum (bread wheat). RNAcentral's name for it is "partial small subunit ribosomal RNA". Lineage: Eukaryota; Viridiplantae; Streptophyta; Magnoliopsida; Poales; Poaceae. The record is from RNAcentral.
AUGAAUCUUCUCGUUUGGAACUAUCGGGGAUUGGGCUUGGACCCGACAGUAGGAGAACUGAGGAACCUGAUUAGGUCAUACAGCCCAGCGGUGGUGUUCUUGAGCGAGACUAAGAAGAAGGCGCGAGCUAUGAAGAAGAUCAAGUGGAGUUUGGGGUUCCGUCAUGGUGUUGCUGUGGACUGUGAGGGCAAGAGUGGUGGAUUAGCUUUACUUUGGAGGGAUCAUAUUUCUAUCACAGUUAGAUGGUGGUGCCAGUACUAUAUUGAUGCGGAGAUCUCCUCAGAGGGAAGAACCGUUAGAUUCACUGGAAUCUACGGAGAACCACGAACGGAGCAUAGACGGAAAACUUGGGAUGCACUUCGUUAUUUGAAACGACACGACAACUUGCCUUGGCUCUGUGCGGGAGACUUCAACGAGAUCCUUUUCCAAACAGAGCAGAGAGGUGGAAAUCCUAGAAACUUCAACCAAAUGGAGGACUUUCGGGAGUGUCUUGGUGAUUGUGGAAUAGCUGAUUUGGGGUUCACUGGAUACCCUUUUACGUGGGAUAAUAAGCAAGAUGGAGGAGCAAAUAUUUAG